Molecule: transfer RNA, 76 nt
Filed under: Thiomicrospira sp.
Lineage: Bacteria; Pseudomonadati; Pseudomonadota; Gammaproteobacteria; Thiotrichales; Piscirickettsiaceae
Also listed under: 35 other names
Description: tRNA-Lys
Rfam family: tRNA
About the family: Transfer RNA (tRNA) molecules are approximately 80 nucleotides in length. Their secondary structure includes four short double-helical elements and three loops (D, anti-codon, and T loops).
Source: RNAcentral
GGGUCGUUAGCUCAGCUGGUAGAGCAGUUGGCUUUUAACCAAUUGGUCGCGCGUUCGAAUCGCGCACGACCCACCA